CCGAGAACGUAUGUAUAUUGUUGAACCUCGUAAAAAUUUUUAUAUUUUUUCGUUUUUUCUUUAUCCGAUUCUUCAACACGUCUCAUCGUUCGGGCUACUCAAGACUUUGGUGGGGUAUGAGUUUGGUUUGCCCCACGGUAAAAGAUGGCAUUACAUGGAGGGUUCGCGAUGGUCGCACUGUAGCUUUUUGGGAUGAUAAUUGGAUUGAAGAUCUUGGUCCAUUAAGGAACUUGUCCUUCAACUCUUUGGAUGAUCAUGCUAGUACUAUCAAGGGCCGGAUGUCUCAAUUUGGCGAUGGGAUGAACAUAAGAAGUUUACAGUCAAGAGCGCCUAUACUUUUCGUUUGGGAGCUCCGGAUAAUACUAUAGAUAAUCAACAUUGGAAGGUGAUUGUCCAAUAUUGAGGGUUUCCUCGUGUCAAGCUACUGUUGUGGUGCUUGUAUCGAAAUAAACUGUUGUCAAAUGAAGAACAUUACAAGCGGCAUAUGACGUCUGACAUGUCUCGUGCAAUCUGCGGAGCAGCCAUGGAGUCAAAUCUUCACAUAUUCAGAGACUGUAUUAUUGCUCGGACAGUGUGGCAAGGGUUGAUUAAACCAAGUUGCACCAGGGCUAGAUCUUUCGGCUUUUGGGUCUCAACCCAAACAAACUAUUUAGCCUGUAGGAGAGUAUCUAGGUUCCAAAAGAAAAUCUCGGUCUUAAUUAACCAACAACUAGUCCAAGAUUCCCCUGAAAUUAAGCCGGUAUGAGUGGAUCUUAGUGACACAAACAAUCAAGCGAUAUUAGUUUAUAUUAUGUAACAGCAAAUUACUAGUUAUAAUUAGUCACGGGGGGCCUUUUUCUUUUCUUUAUGGUGGUGUACUUGGAAAAACAGUACUGUCUUGAGCAAGCAGCAGUAGGGCAGGUGACACCGGAUGGUACGGGUCAAGUAGAUGAGAGCUAUAUGGUAUAUUUUGUGAAACAGAGGUGGAGCCCGUGAAGGUUACGGAGAAGGAGCUGCCAUGGAAUGGACGGUCCGAUGGUCAUUAGGGGGAAAAACCUAGAUGACUUCUUUAUUUUGAUUUGGACCAUUGGAUAAGUCUAGAUUUGACGGCUAAUAAUCGGGCGACAGGAGUUUAGGAGGAAACCAUAGCUCACUUGGGUCCUCACACUUAGGCCUGUUUUACUGGGUUGUUCCAGACAUCUUUGUAACAAUAGGCUCCCGGUUUUGUAAAUACGGGCCUGAAAAAUGC
Molecule: long non-coding RNA, 1228 nt
Organism: Hibiscus syriacus
Lineage: Eukaryota; Viridiplantae; Streptophyta; Magnoliopsida; Malvales; Malvaceae
Exons: 3
Source: RefSeq, a predicted model, not a curated record